RNAcentral lists this ribosomal RNA (520 nucleotides) under uncultured Glomus. RNAcentral's name for it is "SSU rRNA". It matches the Rfam family "Eukaryotic small subunit ribosomal RNA", at positions 569 to 1092 of the family's 1831-position model. Lineage: Eukaryota; Fungi; Glomeromycota; Glomeromycetes; Glomerales; Glomeraceae. The record is from RNAcentral.
AGCAGCCGCGGUAAUUCCAGCUCCAAUAGCGUAUAUUAAAGUUGUUGCAGUUAAAAAGCUCGUAGUUGAAUUUCGGGGUUAGUAGGUUGGUCAUGCCACUGGUAUGUACUGGUCUCACUGAUUCCUCCUUCCUGAUGAGCCGUAAUGCCAUUAAUUUGGUGUUGCGAGGAAUCUGGACUGUUACUUUGAAAAAAUUAGAGUGUUUAAAGCAAGCUAACGCUUGAAUACAUUAGCAUGGAAUAAUGAAAUAGGACGUUCGAUCCUAUUUUGUUGGUUUCUAGGAUUGACGUAAUGAUUAAUAGGGAUAGUUGGGGGCAUUAGUAUUCAAUUGUCAGAGGUGAAAUUCUUGGAUUUAUUGAAGACUAACUACUGCGAAAGCAUUUACCAAGGAUGUUUUCAUUAAUCAAGAACGAAAGUUAGGGGAUCGAAGACGAUCAGAUACCGUCGUAGUCUUAACCAUAAACUAUGCCGACUAGGGAUCGGAUAAUGUUAUUUUUAAUGACUCAUUCGACGCCUUACG